Molecule: ribosomal RNA, 253 nt
Filed under: uncultured bacterium
Lineage: Bacteria
Description: partial 16S ribosomal RNA
Rfam family: Bacterial small subunit ribosomal RNA
Source: RNAcentral
UACGGGGGGGGUAAGCGUUGUUCGGAAUUACUGGGCGUAAAGGGCUCGUAGGCGGCCAACUAAGUCGGACGUGAAAUCCCUCAGCUUAACUGGGGAACUGCGUCCGAUACUGGAUGGCUUGGAUUUGGGAGAGGGAUGCGGAAUUCCAGGUGUAGCGGUGAAAUGCGUAGAUAUCUGGAGGAACACCGGUGGCGAAGGCGGCAUCCUGGACCAAUAUUGACGCUGAGGAGCGAAAGCCAGGGGGGCAAACGGG